UUCUGUUGCGUCCUGCCAAAAGGCUGAACGGGAGUCGCCGGAAGUACUGUAGCUUGCCAGAAAUCCUCACCGGAAAAAUCCUUGCCGGAAAAAUAAGGCACCUGUCCAAGAAAACAGAACACACCCACAAACCCACAAAAAGCAGAAGAGAGAAUAGAAAGAAAAGAGCAGGGGUCGCCAGACAAAAUCGCCGACGAAAAGCAAGAAUUAAAAAUAACUGAUUGGAGAAUCUUAGAAAAUUGCACCCCGAGCAAAUUGUAUUGAAGUUUGAGCUGUUCUAAGCUUAAAGUUUGAAACUUUACUGAUUUCUUGAACUAGAUUACCAAGUAAUAAAAUAAAUUGAUUUCAAAUUCUUACUUGUUAGUUGUAGUAUAUCAGAAAUCGUAAAUUGUUAACUUAACUAAUUAGAUAGAAUUAGGCAAAUACUUAGAUCUAUGCCUUUCGCAACAUCGGCAGCAAAUAACAAACAAAAUAAACUUUGAAAAAAUCAAAAAGAAAUUGGGUUGAGGAUUUCUAGAUGCAGUAAGAGUAGACAAAGAAAGAGUAGAAGGAAUUAAUACCUGAUAUGUUUUACCAAUUACAGGAACAACUUUAAUUAGGGUUUCUCCGGAUAGUGGAUAGAGACAGAAAGAGAGAGGAGGGAGAGAGAGAGGAGAAAAUACG
This 663-nucleotide long non-coding RNA is filed under the name Nicotiana benthamiana. RNAcentral's name for it is "long non-coding RNA (NBEN_LNC035099)". Lineage: Eukaryota; Viridiplantae; Streptophyta; Magnoliopsida; Solanales; Solanaceae. The record is from RNAcentral.